AGGCGUGCGCCACCAGGGCAAUCUGGCUGCGACAUCUGUCUCCCCAUUGAUCGCCAGGGUUGAUUCGGCUGAUCUGGCUGGCUAGGCGGGUGUCCCCUUCCUCCCUCACCACUCCAUGUCUGUCCCUCCCGAAGCUGCGUGCUCGGUCGGUCGAAGAGGACGACCUUCCCCGAAUAGAGGAGGACCCGUCUUAGGUCAAGGGUAUAUGAGUAGCUGCGCUCCCCUGCUAGAACCUCCAAAAACAAGCUCUCAAGAACUGCUUUAAAGAGGACGAGAUUUAUACGCAUUACUGGGGGCCCAGCAAUGCUCUCAG
Cricetulus griseus (Chinese hamster) is the source of this 313-nucleotide non-coding RNA. NCBI's taxonomy places the organism in Eukaryota, Metazoa, Chordata, Mammalia, Rodentia, Cricetidae. The record is from Rfam.